RNAcentral lists this transfer RNA (70 nucleotides) under Marmota monax (woodchuck). RNAcentral's name for it is "tRNA.Ala". Lineage: Eukaryota; Metazoa; Chordata; Mammalia; Rodentia; Sciuridae. The record is from RNAcentral.
GGUGUAUAGCUUAGUGGUAGAGUACUUCCUAGCAUGUGCUAGGCCCUUGGUUUAAUCCCUAGUACCACCA